RNAcentral lists this ribosomal RNA (348 nucleotides) under Triticum aestivum (bread wheat). RNAcentral's name for it is "partial small subunit ribosomal RNA". The record is from RNAcentral. Lineage: Eukaryota; Viridiplantae; Streptophyta; Magnoliopsida; Poales; Poaceae.
AUGAAGGUUCCGAGUUGGAAUUGCAAUGGUCUCGGGAAUGAACUGGCAAUCUGUGCUUUGCUUGAUGUCCAACGAAAGUCAAAUCCUGAUGUGAUGUUUUUGUCGGAGACUCACCUAGAAAGCUACCCGGCUGAAUGUUUACGUUGCCGCCUUAAGAUGGACCAAAAAUUUGUGUGCCAUUGCGAUGGGAGGAAGGGAGGUCUUAUUCUAUUUCGGAAAAAAGAAUUUAUGGUUCAGAGGUUGGAUCUUGACCCUAUGUUUAUAGAUGUGAUGAUCAUGAAUACAAGUGAUAACACAUGGAGACUUACUGUAUGUACGGAGAGUUUAGAUGGGAGAAUAAGCAUAUAA